CAGCCAUCCUACCCAAGCUUAGCAAGGCGGGCACUUCCGCCGAGGGCACUUCCGCCUGCGGUAAAGCGACUCCUGCGCAUCUCUGACGUCAGAGGACCGUCAGACAGGAAAUGGCUGGUUUUAGCUCGCUAAGCGGGUAAGUGUUCUCUUGGAAGACUCUUAUCAGGAAAAUGAGUCGGAUUAAGCAUGGAGUUGGCUCCAUGGAAAUGAAUCCUGGAGAGACGUGCCAAGGACACAGAAUGAGAUAUGCAGUGAGUGAGGAGAGACUUUCUGGAACAUUAAACCUACAGUCCUGGAGAAAUGGUCAUCAGUCAAGAGCACUGACUGCUCUUCCAGAGGUCCUGAGUUCAAAUCCCAGCAACGACAUUGUGGCUCAUGACCGUCUUGUAAUGGGAUUCGAUGCCCUCUUCUGGUAUGCGUGAAGCCAGGGAAAGUGUAAUCACAUACACUAAAUAAACAAAUAAAUCUUUAAAAAAAAAACCAAGAAAACCCAGACCAACAAUCCAGCAGUUGUUGGAAAGCUGUGACCCGUGGAGCCUAACACAGACAACGCUGUGGGUUGGAUCUCCAGCAGAAAAGCCAAUAUGAUGGCACAAGCCUGUAAUUCUAGAGCUUGAGAGGUAGAGGCAGGAGGAUCAGAAGUUCGAAGUUAUCCUUGGCUACAUGGUGCAUUUGAGGACAUCUUGGGAUACACAAGGCUAGCUCACAAAGGAGGAGGGGCCUGGCAAGUUGGCUAAAGGCACUUGCUGCUAGGCCUGUUCACCUCAGUGGAGCAAUCCUCAGGUCCCACAUGGUGAAGUGAAAGGACCAGCUCCAGAAUGCCUUGGCUGUGUGACCUCCCCUGCAAACAAGUGAAAAUGAAAUAAACAUUCAUUAUUUAAGACAGAAUACGGGGUUGGGGAUUUAGCUCAGUGGUAGAGCGCUUGCCUAGCAAGCACAAGGCCCUGGGUUUGGUCCCCAGCUCUGGAAGAAAAAAAAAAAAAAACUUAGAAUACGUGAAAACAUUGUGGAUAACCUAGGUAGGAUGCUGGUGGAGAUUGGAGCUGCCACAGUCUGUCCAUUGCCACUGCCAUACACCAGUAGCAUCUCUGUAAAAAUGCUGAUUACAUUCCUUUGCUUGUAUAAAAUCAGAGUUGGGAAACACUUAAUGUUCCCCCUCCUCAAA
Long non-coding RNA from Rattus norvegicus (Norway rat), 1165 nucleotides. RefSeq lists it as uncharacterized. Lineage: Eukaryota; Metazoa; Chordata; Mammalia; Rodentia; Muridae. The record is from RefSeq and is a predicted model, not a curated record.